AUUGAACGCUGGCGGCAGGCCUAACACAUGCAAGUCGAACGGUAACAGGAAGAAGCUUGCUUCUUUGCUGACGCGUGGCGGACGGGUGAGUCAUGUCUGGGAAACUGCCUGAUGGAGGGGGAUAACUACUGGAAACGGUAGCUAAUACCGCAUAACGUCGCAAGCCCAAAGAGGGGGACCUUCGGGCCUCUUGCCAUCGGCUGUGCCCAGAUGGGAUUAGCUAGUAGGUGGGGUAACGGCUCACCUAGGCGACGAUCCCUAGCUGGUCUGAGAGGAUGACCAGCCACACUGGAACUGAGACACGGUCCAGACUCCUACGGGAGGCAGCAGUGGGGAAUAUUGCACAAUGGGCGCAAGCCUGAUGCAGCCAUGCCGCGUGUAUGAAGAAGGCCUUCGGGUUGUAAAGUACUUUCAGCGGGGAGGAAGGGAGUAAAGUUAAUACCUUGGCUCAUUGACGUUACCCGCAGAAGAAGCACCGGCUAACUCCGUG
This 490-nucleotide ribosomal RNA is filed under the name uncultured bacterium. RNAcentral's name for it is "partial 16S ribosomal RNA". It matches the Rfam family "Bacterial small subunit ribosomal RNA", at positions 30 to 507 of the family's 1533-position model. The record is from RNAcentral.